Long non-coding RNA from Bos taurus (domestic cattle), 1228 nucleotides. NCBI's taxonomy places the organism in Eukaryota, Metazoa, Chordata, Mammalia, Artiodactyla, Bovidae. The record is from Ensembl.
UAAACGUCUCUAAAAUGGCAAUUCUCAAACUUCAGCUCCAUCGGUAUCACCUGUAAGACUUGUUAAAGCCCAGCUCAGUCAGUAUUCUGUGAGCAGGUCUCGGGUGGGGCUAGGGGGCUUGGAUUUUACCAAGUUCCCAAGUGGGGCUGACGCCACUUGUCCAGGGUUCACACUUGGGAAACCAUUGCUCUAAGACUCACCUUGCAACCAUUGUGUUCAAUGACCAAUUCCCUCAUGGCUGCCAGAAUCCAAACAUCCCGACAGGUGAUAUGGGAGGAUCAAACUGGAGUGCCUUGGAACCAUCUGCCACGUGCGAGUUGGUCAUCCAUUACACUUAAGAUUUGUUUUCUUGUUGGUAAAGAGGAAAGAGCAUUGGAUCAGGUGGAGAAAGACCUGGAUUCCAAUUCUGAGUCUUGAAGCUGUCAUUUACAACCCCUUGGGGGCAUUUUUGAACCUCCUCAAACUUCAGUCUCUCUGCCAGAACUUCAUGACUCCUGUGAAGUAGGCCCUGCUCUCUGACCUUCUCGGAUCUCCCCCAGGGAAGUCUGACCUCCCAUCUCCUGAGACCUUUGUCUUAUACUCUCAUGAACUGCAGUGGUAUGUGUUUAUUGCAGUAAAACUGAGUUCCUUGAGGGCAGAGAUGAGUUUUAUCUGUAUUUAUUCUCAAGUAACCAGAGAUAUCCCUGGCAAAGAGCAGAUACUCAUUAAAUGUUUACUAUUGAGUGAAUAAAAGUAAUAAACCUGGGUUCCAAAUAGCCCUUUAGGCCCUGGCUUUAUGCUAAUUCUCUAAUUUUAGCCGCUGCUUUGAAGUAUGAUUAGAAUAGAAUACCCCACCAGGUAGCGCUGAGAACACAGACACAUAAUUCAGUACUUAAUACGACUCUCCAGGGACAAAUCCCUGGUUAGGCUGCUGAGCUAUAAAUGAUCUUUUUUUAAAAAAAAAUUUUGAGAUUUAAUGAUACAUGGAAUUAUUUUUGCAGCUCUUAGCGCAUCCCAGUCUUGACUUUGGGACAAGGAUACAAUUGCUGGAAAGAUCCCAGUAAUUCCUGCAGUGUGGCUACAUAAUAUAGAGGACCCAUGAGUGUUCCGGCCACAAAAGGAAACCAGGGCACCCCAAAGGGGAGGGACAAGCUUCACUGAGCUCUGCAGUCCCCCAAGUCGUCCAAGCCGAUCAGAGACAAGCUCGUCUCAGCCUUCCAGAAGUUCAUGUUUGCUGUUCCCACAGCUC